CCUACGGGCGGCAGCAGUGGGGAAUAUUGGACAAUGGGGGCAACCCUGAUCCAGCCAUGCCGCGUGUAUGAAGAAGGCCCUCGGGUUGUAAAGCACUUUCAGUGAGGAAGAACGCCUGGUGGUUAAUACCCAUCAGGAAAGACAUCACUCACAGAAGAAGCACCGGCUAACUCCGUGCCAGCAGCCGCGGUAAUACGGAGGGUGCGAGCGUUAAUCGGAAUUACUGGGCGUAAAGCGCGCGUAGGUGGCUUGAUAAGCCGGUUGUGAAAGCCCCGGGCUCAACCUGGGAACGGCAUCCGGAACUGUCAAGCUAGAGUGCAGGAGAGGAAGGUAGAAUUCCCGGUGUAGCGGUGGAAUGCGUAGAGAUCGGGAGGAAUACCAGUGGCGAAGGCGGCCUUCUGGACUGACACUGACACUGAGGUGCGAAAGCGUGGGUAGCAAACAGGAUUAGAUACCCUUGUAGUC
This 465-nucleotide ribosomal RNA is filed under the name Vreelandella stevensii. RNAcentral's name for it is "partial 16S ribosomal RNA". It matches the Rfam family "Bacterial small subunit ribosomal RNA", at positions 338 to 795 of the family's 1533-position model. Lineage: Bacteria; Pseudomonadati; Pseudomonadota; Gammaproteobacteria; Oceanospirillales; Halomonadaceae. The record is from RNAcentral.